This 174-nucleotide non-coding RNA is filed under the name bovine gut metagenome. The record is from RNAcentral.
GGUUUGGUCGCCCUGACGAAGGGCGCCAAGAGGGAAGCCGGUGCGAGUCCGGCGCAGUCCCGCUGCUGUAAGCUCCAACGAACUGAAAGCCCAAUUUUAACGUCACUGUGUGCUGCCAUAAGUACAUGGGAAGACAGGGCCGACGGGGAGCAAGCCAGAAUACCUGCCAAACCC